Molecule: ribosomal RNA, 163 nt
Filed under: uncultured bacterium
Lineage: Bacteria
Description: partial 16S ribosomal RNA
Rfam family: Bacterial small subunit ribosomal RNA
Source: RNAcentral
AAUGGCAGGUCAGCAUACUGCCGUGAAUACGUUCCCGGGCCUUGUACACACCGCCCGUCACACCAUGAGAGUUGGGGAUACCCGAAGCCUGUGAGCCAACAGUUAAAUGAGGCAGCAGUCGAAGGUAGAAUCAAUGAUUGGGGUGAAGUCGUAACAAGGUAUC